GGCGGUAUAGCCAAGCGGUAAGGCGACGGUCUGCAAAACCGUUAUUCUCCGGUUCAAAUCCGGAUGCCGCCU
RNAcentral lists this transfer RNA (72 nucleotides) under Caldifarciminota bacterium. RNAcentral describes it as "candidate division WOR-3 bacterium (sediment metagenome) tRNA-Cys". It matches the Rfam family "tRNA". From Rfam's summary of the family: Transfer RNA (tRNA) molecules are approximately 80 nucleotides in length. Their secondary structure includes four short double-helical elements and three loops (D, anti-codon, and T loops). Further hydrogen bonds mediate the characteristic L-shaped molecular structure. tRNAs have two regions of fundamental functional importance: the anti-codon, which is responsible for specific mRNA codon recognition, and the 3' end, to which the tRNAs corresponding amino acid is attached (by aminoacyl-tRNA synthetases). tRNAs cope with the degeneracy of the genetic code in two manners: having more than one tRNA (with a specific anti-codon) for a particular amino acid; and 'wobble' base-pairing, i.e. permitting non-standard base-pairing at the 3rd anti-codon position. Lineage: Bacteria; Pseudomonadati; Caldifarciminota. RNAcentral also lists the same sequence under 1 other name. The record is from RNAcentral.